RNAcentral lists this ribosomal RNA (743 nucleotides) under uncultured bacterium. RNAcentral's name for it is "bacterial SSU rRNA". It matches the Rfam family "Bacterial small subunit ribosomal RNA", at positions 8 to 795 of the family's 1533-position model. The record is from RNAcentral.
AGAGUUUGAUCCUGGCUCAGAGCGAACGCUGGCGGCAGGCUUAACACAUGCAAGUCGAGCGGGCGUAGCAAUACGUCAGCGGCAGACGGGUGAGUAACGCGUGGGAACAUACCUUUUGGUUCGGAACAACACAGGGAAACUUGUGCUAAUACCGGAUAAGCCCUUACGGGGAAAGAUUUAUCGCCGAAAGAUUGGCCCGCGUCUGAUUAGCUAGUUGGUGAGGUAACGGCUCACCAAGGCGACGAUCAGUAGCUGGUCUGAGAGGAUGAUCAGCCACAUUGGGACUGAGACACGGCCCAAACUCCUACGGGAGGCAGCAGUGGGGAAUAUUGGACAAUGGGCGAAAGCCUGAUCCAGCCAUGCCGCGUGAGUGAUGAAGGCCCUAGGGUUGUAAAGCUCUUUUGUGCGGGAAGAUAAUGACGGUACCGCAAGAAUAAGCCCCGGCUAACUUCGUGCCAGCAGCCGCGGUAAUACGAAGGGGGCUAGCGUUGCUCGGAAUCACUGGGCGUAAAGGGUGCGUAGGCGGGUUUUUAAGUCAGAGGUGAAAUCCUGGAGCUCAACUCCAGAACUGCCUUUGAUACUGAGAAUCUUGAGUUCGGGAGAGGUGAGUGGAACUGCGAGUGUAGAGGUGAAAUUCGUAGAUAUUCGCAAGAACACCAGUGGCGAAGGCGGCUCACUGGCCCGAUACUGACGCUGAGGCACGAAAGCGUGGGGAGCAAACAGGAUUAGAUACCCUGGUAGUC